Nanorana parkeri is the source of this 96-nucleotide long non-coding RNA. RefSeq lists it as uncharacterized. NCBI's taxonomy places the organism in Eukaryota, Metazoa, Chordata, Amphibia, Anura, Dicroglossidae. The record is from RefSeq and is a predicted model, not a curated record. The transcript has 3 exons.
GGGCGGAAUUACCACCGGUGCAGCUGCACCAGGGCCCGAGCCUGGAGGGGCCCAGUAGACCCAGGCAUGAGGAGGCAACUUGUUUUCAGAUUGUGG